CACGGUGGGUGGAUAGGGG
This 19-nucleotide unclassified non-coding RNA is filed under the name Chlamydomonas reinhardtii. RNAcentral's name for it is "small RNA Cre_0893". The record is from RNAcentral. Lineage: Eukaryota; Viridiplantae; Chlorophyta; Chlorophyceae; Chlamydomonadales; Chlamydomonadaceae.